This 700-nucleotide long non-coding RNA is filed under the name Nicotiana benthamiana. RNAcentral's name for it is "long non-coding RNA (NBEN_LNC006664)". Lineage: Eukaryota; Viridiplantae; Streptophyta; Magnoliopsida; Solanales; Solanaceae. The record is from RNAcentral.
UUCAAAAUCGUUUGUCUUUGAUUUAGGGUUUCUGAAAGGUUUUUCAAAAACAUCUUUCUAGUUCUUUUUGUUCUUUCAUUAUUUGUGUUUGUCUAUGUUAUGCUCGUAUGACUUCUUUUACUACGCAUGUACUGUCCUCCUACUUUUUUUACUAUACAUAUUACUCAUGUGCUCACAUGUUAAUCCUUCUUAUGUUUUCCUUACUCUUCUACUAUAUGUGUUUAUUGUUGAGUUCUUUGAUUUUAGUUAGCUUUACUAGACUCUGUUCGUAUUCUUGCUAAAUAUGUUUCAUCUACUUUUGAUUAAGUUUGUAUCACCUCUUUCUUCUGAACUUGUUUAAGUUUUGAGUUUUCUCAAACAUGUUCUCCAUGAUAUUGAAUCGGUUUUCUUUCUUUUUUUCAUAUCUGUUUGUUUCUCAUAAGGCUCUGAAACAGACCUUGGAGUCUGUUUCAAUGGUUUGCUUUCACAUCUUUAUGUUUGAUUCGGUUUUGAAACCCUAGGAUUUGGGGGUUUCUUUGGCAAUUUCGAUUUUGUGUUCGAGUUAGGGUUCCACUUUGGGACCCUGGACUCUCAGACGCACUAUGAGUCUACAAAUUGAACUUGUAUCCCUUUGCUUAUGAGUCUUAACCUUUCAAUGUUAGACUAUUUUUUAAGUAACCUGACGACUCUUUUUGUUUGAUUUGUUUGUUUUAUAUAUGAG